RNAcentral lists this unclassified non-coding RNA (247 nucleotides) under fungal sp. Its description in RNAcentral is "partial contains 5.8S ribosomal RNA, internal transcribed spacer 2, and large subunit ribosomal RNA". Lineage: Eukaryota; Fungi. The record is from RNAcentral.
CGCACAUUGCGCCCUUUGGUAUUCCUUAGGGCAUGCCUGUUCGAGCGUCAUUUCAAACCUCAAGCCCCCUUUGGCUUGGUGUUGGGCGUUUGUCCCUCCCCCGGGACUCGCCUCAAAUGCAUUGGCAGCCGGUACGUUGGCUUCGAGCGCAGCAGAAACGCGCCUGGCGUCUGACGGAACCUGGCUCUCCAGGAAGCCUCCCCCACAGUUUGACCUCGGAUCAGGUAGGGAUACCCGCUGAACUUAA